GGAGAGAUGGCUGAGUGG
Molecule: transfer RNA, 18 nt
Filed under: Oplismenus hirtellus
Lineage: Eukaryota; Viridiplantae; Streptophyta; Magnoliopsida; Poales; Poaceae
Description: partial tRNA-Ser
Source: RNAcentral